AAGAGAAAGCCUUGCUAAAUAUGACGGAUGGAGAAAGCGGAGUCAUAUACAUGGGAUAUAAUAUCUGUGUCUGCACUCAUUAAUUUGUUCUGAUGGUUCGAUGCUCUGCAACAAAUUAUGAGGUUAAGUAAUUCCUUGACCUUGCUUUAAGUGCAAAUCAUUGUUGCUGUGGAAAUGCUCCAUUUCACCAGCUUUUUGAAGGAUCACAGUAGUUCAUUGCUGUUGUAAAAUUCCUUUUUUUUUUUUUUUUUUUU
This 254-nucleotide unclassified non-coding RNA is filed under the name Hevea brasiliensis (rubber tree). Lineage: Eukaryota; Viridiplantae; Streptophyta; Magnoliopsida; Malpighiales; Euphorbiaceae. The record is from RNAcentral.